CCUACGGGUGGCUGCAGUGGGGAAUAUUGCACAAUGGGCGAAAGCCUGAUGCAGCAAUGCCGCGUGUGUGAAGAAGGCCUGCGGGUUGUAAAGCACUUUCGGUAGGGAAGAUUAUGACGGUACCUACAGAAGAAGCACCGGCUAACUCCGUGCCAGCAGCCGCGGUAAUACGGAGGGUGCAAGCGUUAAUCGGAAUUACUGGGCGUAAAGCGCGCGUAGGCGGUCUUGUAAGUCGGAUGUGAAAGCCCCGGGCUUAACCUGGGAACUGCAUUCGA
RNAcentral lists this ribosomal RNA (275 nucleotides) under uncultured bacterium. RNAcentral's name for it is "partial 16S ribosomal RNA". It matches the Rfam family "Bacterial small subunit ribosomal RNA", at positions 338 to 630 of the family's 1533-position model. The record is from RNAcentral.